Molecule: ribosomal RNA, 429 nt
Filed under: Chloroflexota bacterium
Lineage: Bacteria; Bacillati; Chloroflexota
Description: Chloroflexi bacterium partial 16S ribosomal RNA
Rfam family: Bacterial small subunit ribosomal RNA
Source: RNAcentral
UGGGGAAUAUUGCACAAUGGGCGCAAGCCUGAUGCAGCCAUGCCGCGUGUAUGGAGAAGGCCUUCGGGUUGUAAAGUACUUUCAGCGGGGAGGAAGGGAGUAAAGUUAAUACCUUUGCUCAUUGACGUUACCCGCAGAAGAAGCACCGGCUAACUCCGUGCCAGCAGCCGCGGUAAUACGGAGGGUGCAAGCGUUAAUCGGAAUUACUGGGCGUAAAGCGCACGCAGGCGGUUUGUUAAGUCAGAUGUGAAAUCCCCGGGCUCAACCUGCGAACUGCAUCUGAUACUGGCAAGCUUGAGUCUCGUAGAGGGGGGUAGAAUUCCAGGUGUAGCGGUGAAAUGCGUAGAGAUCUGGAGGAAUACCGGUGGCGAAGGCGGCCCCCUGGACGAAGACUGACGCUCAGGUGCGAAAGCGUGGGGAGCAAACAGG